CCUACGGGUGGCUGCAGUGGGGAAUAUUGGACAAUGGGGGGAACCCUGAUCCAGCCAUGCCGCGUGUGUGAAGAAGGCCCUCGGGUUGUAAAGCACUUUCAGUGAGGAAGAACGCCUGGUGGUUAAUACCCAUCAGGAAAGACAUCACUCACAGAAGAAGCACCGGCUAACUCCGUGCCAGCAGCCGCGGUAAUACGGAGGGUGCGAGCGUUAAUCGGAAUUACUGGGCGUAAAGCGCGCGUAGGUGGCUUGAUAAGCCGGUUGUGAAAGCCCCGGGCUCAACCUGGGAACGGCAUCCGGAACUGUCAAGCUAGAGUGCAGGAGAGGAAGGUAGAAUUCCCGGUGUAGCAGUGAAAUGCGUAGAGAUCGGGAGGAAUACCAGUGGCGAAGGCGGCCUUCUGGACUGACACUGACACUGAGGUGCGAAAGCGUGGGUAGCAAACAGGAUUAGAUACCCUAGUAGUC
RNAcentral lists this ribosomal RNA (465 nucleotides) under Vreelandella stevensii. RNAcentral's name for it is "partial 16S ribosomal RNA". It matches the Rfam family "Bacterial small subunit ribosomal RNA", at positions 338 to 795 of the family's 1533-position model. The record is from RNAcentral. Lineage: Bacteria; Pseudomonadati; Pseudomonadota; Gammaproteobacteria; Oceanospirillales; Halomonadaceae.